UUCUGUGCUUCCCAUCUUCAUUUCUACGCUUCUGAAAAACCCUAAACGCUUCCAGGUUCCAUCUUCACUAAACGCUCAAAAACCCUAAACGCUUUUUCAUAAAUCUUUUCCAGGUUCCAUCUGCACUAAACGCUCAGAAAUCGUUUCUCGGUUCCACGCUUUUCAGAUUCUCAAAAUCGCAUCUCAAAAUUGCUUCAGGUGUUUGAGUAUGAAUGGUACUGAUUUGUGAAUAAGUAUUGCAGUUGAAUAUGACCGGAGCUGUAACGGCAUGACCGAAGUUCACCAAUCUUCUUUUCGGUUCUUCUUUUUUUUCCAAUAAACUCUCCAGACCCUUGUUACCUUUCUCCUUUCUUCUUUCUCAGGUAAGCUUUGCGUUUCUUCUCUCCCUUAAUUCUUUUUUCAAUUGGUUGACGUUUCAGUUUUGAUUUGUUGUUUCAAUAAGUUGUUUUGAUUCGAUUCUUCUCAAGGUUUGAUUCAAUUCGUUGUUUUAAUUUGUUGUUUCUAUUCGAUUCUUCUCAAGUUUUCAAAUACAGUAUGAGCCACUUCGUGCUGUUUGGAUCACCUCUGAUCCAUCCACUAGACUCGAAUUGAUCAGACUCUUAUGCGGACUGGCUUCAUCUUCUCAAGCCCUAAACCCAGAGAAAAGUUCAAAUCCUAAUUUCAUCACCUUUUUUGUUUUCAUAAUUCUCAUACAUAAUGAAUUUUCAUAUUUUAUUUUAUAAUUAAAUUGAUUUUGCUAGAUUAUGAUACUGCUAUAAUUGUUAUUGAAAUCCUGCUAUUAACUUCUCUUAUGUUGAUUCUUUGGUACGAAGAGUGAAUAAUUGAAAGCGAGGUUAAAAAAGUUGGAAGAUUUAGUUGAGAGGAAAGCAUAUAAGGAUCUUGUUAAGGAUAUUGCAUCAGGAACAUUUCUAUUCUUACAAGGAUCAACUAGAAUUUGUUCACGGUUGAAUCUUCAUCAUCCUCAUUAUUCAACAAAGAGUAUAUGUGAACAAAAUACGUUAUUGAAUCAUUCAUGUGGAAAUGCGAGGAUGGCGAUAAUUUCUGACCGACAUGACUAUUUAGUUUAGACACUAGGACAAAACUGAAACUCUUUAAUCAAAGAUCAAUUGAAGGGUGGUAGAACAUGUGGAUUUGAUACUGUCACACAAAGUUUUGUUUGUUUAUUUAAGGAUGGAAACUCCACUACUCAUUGUAAAGAGGAGGAGAUUUGAGCAAUAAGCAAUGUCGGUAGUGUGAAUUGGAGUGCGACGGGGUCGGCCACCAAAGCAACAAUGACAACUGCAGCAGGAACAAUAACAGAGUCUGGUUGAAGUGGAAGUGAUUGUGAAUAGAACGAUAUGGCGGCGUACAGCUGCAGCGGUUGUGAAUGAUAAGGUUGAAGAGAUGGUGGUUAUGGUUACAUCGCUAAAUGAGAACGUAGUUGUUGCUGCGGUGGAGAAGGAAGGGGAGGAUGAUCGGAGUUUGGAAGAAAAGGGUGAAGAGGACAGUAACGCCUUGGUUAUUUAUGAACAGGUUAACUCAAGUUAGUAGGGAAUGAGCAUUACAAGAGGGGUGAAUUUACUGAUGCAUUGAGUUUUUAUGACCGUGCAAUUUCUAUUUUGCCGAGGAGUGCUUCUUACCGGAAUAAUCGCCGCCACGCUUAUCGGUUUGGAAAGACUGGCUGAAGCUGCGAGGGAAUGUCAGGAGGCUUGUAAAUAUGAUCCUAAUUAUGGUUAUUAGCUCAAUAAAUGGCUUUGGAGAUGGGUUAGCUCAAUGAAAUGGUUUUGAGGAUGGGUUAUAACUAAAUUCUCUGCACAACCCAGGAAGUCGUCAAGGCAGUGGCAACGAGAAAGCCAUUCUUGCAUCGAGAGCUUCUCGUUCUACGACUUUAGAAGGAAGAGUUGAUGUGACAUUAAUCACCACAAUCUCAGGUGGAUUGCAUUUACCAAAUUUCUUACAUUUUUAUAAAAUGCCAAUACCUUGUUAAAGAGACCCUUCCUCUUGUCUUUGUAACAAAACAUAUCAAUUUCAUUACUUAUAUAACACUUUCUCCCAUGUCAUAUGCAAUGUUGACUGGAAAUAGUUCGCCGUGAAAUCAAUAUAUACUAACUUUGAAUGCA
This is a long non-coding RNA of Vicia villosa (hairy vetch), 2099 nucleotides long. RefSeq lists it as uncharacterized. The transcript is spliced from 8 exons. The record is from RefSeq and is a predicted model, not a curated record. Lineage: Eukaryota; Viridiplantae; Streptophyta; Magnoliopsida; Fabales; Fabaceae.